AGAGUGGGUAGUCCGCACGAGCGCACCUCGAUCCUUAGUUGCCAUCAGUUUGGCUGGGCACUCUAGGGAAACUGCCGGUGAUAAGCUGGAGGAAGGUGGGGAUGACGUCAAGUCCUCAUGGCCCUUACGGGCUGGGCUACACACGUGCUACAAUGGCGGUGACAGUGGGAUGCGAAAGGGCAACUUGGAGCUAAUCCCCAAAAACCGUCUCAGUUCGGAUUGUUCUCUGCAACUCGAGAGCAUGAAGUUGGAAUCGCUAGUAAUCGUGGAUCAGCAUGCCACGGUGAAUACGUUCCCGGGCCUUGUACACACCGCCCGUCACACCAUGGGGGUUGGUUUUACCCGAAGCCGGUGCGCUAACCGCAAGGAGGCAGCCGACCACGGUAAGGUCAGCGACUGGGGUGAAGUCGUAACAAGGUAGCCGUAGGGGAACCUGCGGCUGGAUCACCUCCUUUCU
Molecule: ribosomal RNA, 457 nt
Filed under: uncultured Alphaproteobacteria bacterium
Lineage: Bacteria; Pseudomonadati; Pseudomonadota; Alphaproteobacteria
Description: bacterial SSU rRNA
Rfam family: Bacterial small subunit ribosomal RNA
Source: RNAcentral